CGACGGUGAGUAACGCGUAUGCAACGUUGCCUAUCGAGGAGGGGGACUAACCCGGCGAAAGUCGGACUAAUACCGCAUGAAGCAGGGGCCCCGCAUGGGGAUAUUUGCUAAAGAUUCAUCGCUGAUAGAUAGGCAUGCGUUCCAUUAGGCAGUUGGCGGGGUAACGGCCCACCAAGGCGACGAUGUCUAGGGGUUCUGAGAGGAAGGUCCCCCACACUGGUACUGAGACACGGACCAGACUCCUACGGGAGGCAGCAG
This 258-nucleotide ribosomal RNA is filed under the name uncultured bacterium. RNAcentral describes it as "partial 16S ribosomal RNA". It matches the Rfam family "Bacterial small subunit ribosomal RNA", at positions 100 to 354 of the family's 1533-position model. The record is from RNAcentral.